This 63-nucleotide transfer RNA is filed under the name Cavia porcellus (domestic guinea pig). It matches the Rfam family "tRNA". From Rfam's summary of the family: Transfer RNA (tRNA) molecules are approximately 80 nucleotides in length. Their secondary structure includes four short double-helical elements and three loops (D, anti-codon, and T loops). Further hydrogen bonds mediate the characteristic L-shaped molecular structure. tRNAs have two regions of fundamental functional importance: the anti-codon, which is responsible for specific mRNA codon recognition, and the 3' end, to which the tRNAs corresponding amino acid is attached (by aminoacyl-tRNA synthetases). tRNAs cope with the degeneracy of the genetic code in two manners: having more than one tRNA (with a specific anti-codon) for a particular amino acid; and 'wobble' base-pairing, i.e. permitting non-standard base-pairing at the 3rd anti-codon position. The record is from Rfam by way of RNAcentral. Lineage: Eukaryota; Metazoa; Chordata; Mammalia; Rodentia; Caviidae.
GGGGAUUUAGCUCAGUGGCAUAAGCACCUGCCUUGCAAGCAGGAGUGGAGAGUUCAAUCUCCG